This 66-nucleotide non-coding RNA is filed under the name unclassified sequences. Its description in RNAcentral is "L31-Actinobacteria ribosomal protein leader". It matches the Rfam family "L31-Actinobacteria ribosomal protein leader". The record is from RNAcentral.
UCGGUCCCGGUUCACGCCGCACACUCCUUUCCGGUCCAUUCGGCCGGGGGAGGGCGACCCGGGGCC